GACGAACGCUGGCGGCGUGCCUAAUACAUGCAAGUCGAGCGGACUUUCAAGAAGCUUGCUUUUUGAAAGUUAGCGGCGGACGGGUGAGUAACACGUGGGCAACCUGCCUGCAAGACGGGGAUAACUCCGGGAAACCGGGGCUAAUACCGGAUAAUAUCUUCCUUCGCAUGAAGGAAGGUUGAAAGGCGGCGCAAGCUGCCGCUUGCAGAUGGGCCCGCGGCGCCUUAGCUAGUUGGUGAGGUAACGGCUCACCAAGGCGACGAUGCGUAGCCGACCUGAGAGGGUGAGCGGCCACACUGGGACUGAGACACGGCCCAGACGCCUACGGGAGGAAGCAGUAGGGAAUAUUCCGCAAUGGACGAAAGUCUGACGGAGCAACGCCGAGUGAGCGAAGAAGGUCUUCGGAUCGUAAAGCUCUGUUGUCAGGGAAGAACAAGUACCGUUCGAACAGGGCGGUACCUUGACGGUACCUGACCAGAAAGCCACGGCUAACUACGUG
RNAcentral lists this ribosomal RNA (499 nucleotides) under uncultured bacterium. Its description in RNAcentral is "partial 16S ribosomal RNA". It matches the Rfam family "Bacterial small subunit ribosomal RNA", at positions 28 to 507 of the family's 1533-position model. The record is from RNAcentral.